Molecule: transfer RNA, 69 nt
Filed under: Benthalbella linguidens (longfin pearleye)
Lineage: Eukaryota; Metazoa; Chordata; Actinopteri; Aulopiformes; Scopelarchidae
Description: tRNA-Ser (AGY)
Source: RNAcentral
GAGAGAGGCCCGACGGCAGUAAGGACUGCUAAUCCUUUACCCCCAUGGUUAAACUCCAUGGCCCGCUCG